Molecule: ribosomal RNA, 235 nt
Filed under: uncultured Actinomycetales bacterium
Lineage: Bacteria; Bacillati; Actinomycetota; Actinomycetes; Actinomycetales
Description: partial 16S ribosomal RNA
Rfam family: Bacterial small subunit ribosomal RNA
Source: RNAcentral
UGGCGAACGGGUGAGUAACACGUGGGUGAUCUGCCCUGCACUCUGGGAUAAGCCUGUGAAACUGGGUCUAAUACCGGAUAGGACCAUGCUUUAGUGUGUGUGGUGGAAAGUUUUUUCGGUGUAGGAUGAGCCCGCGGCCUAUCAGCUUGUUGGUGGGGUAAUGGCCUACCAAGGCGGCGACGGGUAGCCGGACUGAGAGGUUGGUCGGCCACAUUGGGACUGAGAUACGGCCCAG